RNAcentral lists this ribosomal RNA (943 nucleotides) under uncultured Aestuariibacter sp. RNAcentral's name for it is "bacterial SSU rRNA". It matches the Rfam family "Bacterial small subunit ribosomal RNA", at positions 70 to 1010 of the family's 1533-position model. Lineage: Bacteria; Pseudomonadati; Pseudomonadota; Gammaproteobacteria; Alteromonadales; Alteromonadaceae. The record is from RNAcentral.
UAACAGGAAGUGCUUGCACUUCGCUGACGAGUGGCGGACGGGUGAGUAAUACUUAGGGAUCUGCCUUUGAGUGGGGGACAACCAUUGGAAACGAUGGCUAAUACCGCAUAACGUCUACGGACCAAAGUGGGCUUCGGCUUACGCUUGAAGAGGAACCUAAGCGAGAUUAGCUAGUUGGUGAGGUAAGGGCUCACCAAGGCGACGAUCUCUAGCUGUUCUGAGAGGAAGAUCAGCCACACUGGGACUGAGACACGGCCCAGACUCCUACGGGAGGCAGCAGUGGGGAAUAUUGCACAAUGGGGGAAACCCUGAUGCAGCCAUGCCGCGUGUGUGAAGAAGGCCUUCGGGUUGUAAAGCACUUUCAGUUGUGAGGAAAGGUUGGUAGUUAAUACCUGCCAGCUGUGACGUUAACAACAGAAGAAGCACCGGCUAACUCCGUGCCAGCAGCCGCGGUAAUACGGAGGGUGCGAGCGUUAAUCGGAAUUACUGGGCGUAAAGCGCACGCAGGCGGUUUGUUAAGCUAGAUGUGAAAGCCCCGGGCUCAACCUGGGAUGGUCAUUUAGAACUGGCAGACUAGAGUCUUGGAGAGGGGAGUGGAAUUCCAGGUGUAGCGGUGAAAUGCGUAGAGAUCUGGAGGAACAUCAGUGGCGAAGGCGACUCCCUGGCCAAAGACUGACGCUCAUGUGCGAAAGUGUGGGUAGCGAACAGGAUUAGAUACCCUGGUAGUCCACACCGUAAACGCUGUCUACUAGCUGUGUGUGAAUUUAAUUCGUGCGUAGCGUAGCUAACGCGCUAAGUAGACCGCCUGGGGAGUACGGCCGCAAGGUUAAAACUCAAAUGAAUUGACGGGGGCCCGCACAAGCGGUGGAGCAUGUGGUUUAAUUCGAUGCAACGCGAAGAACCUUACCUACACUUGACAUGCAGAGAACUUUCCAGAGAUGGA